This 500-nucleotide ribosomal RNA is filed under the name uncultured bacterium. Its description in RNAcentral is "partial 16S ribosomal RNA". It matches the Rfam family "Bacterial small subunit ribosomal RNA", at positions 30 to 523 of the family's 1533-position model. The record is from RNAcentral.
AUUAAACGCUGGCGGAAUGCUUUACACAUGCAAGUCGAACGGCAGCACGGACUUCGGUCUGGUGGCGAGUGGCGAACGGGUGAGUAAUACAUCGGAACGUGCCCAGUCGUGGGGGAUAACGUAGCGAAAGCUACGCUAAUACCGCAUACGAUCUAAGGAUGAAGGCGGGGGAUCGCAAGACCUCGCGCGAUUGGAGCGGCCGAUGGCAGAUUAGGUAGUUGGUAGGGUAAAGGCCUACCAAGCCGACGAUCUGUAGCUGGUCUGAGAGGAUGAUCAGCCACACUGGGACUGAGACACGGCCCAGACUCCUACGGGAGGCAGCAGUGGGGAAUUUUGGACAAUGGGCGCAAGCCUGAUCCAGCCAUUCCGCGUGCAGGAUGAAGGCCUUCGGGUUGUAAACUGCUUUUGUACAGAACGAAAAGGCUCCGGUUAAUACCCGGGGCUCAUGACGGUACUGUAAGAAUAAGCACCGGCUAACUACGUGCCAGCAGCCGCGGUAA